ACGAUUUGUUUUUGUUAAAGGAGUCUGGUCUUGAAGAGAGCGGAGAUAACAGCUUCACUUCCCCGUUGUAAAG
Etheostoma cragini (Arkansas darter) is the source of this 73-nucleotide long non-coding RNA. RefSeq lists it as uncharacterized. NCBI's taxonomy places the organism in Eukaryota, Metazoa, Chordata, Actinopteri, Perciformes, Percidae. The transcript is spliced from 3 exons. The record is from RefSeq and is a predicted model, not a curated record.